RNAcentral lists this ribosomal RNA (449 nucleotides) under uncultured bacterium. RNAcentral describes it as "partial 16S ribosomal RNA". It matches the Rfam family "Bacterial small subunit ribosomal RNA", at positions 29 to 523 of the family's 1533-position model. The record is from RNAcentral.
AGCGAACGCUGGCGGCAGGCCUAACACAUGCAAGUCGAACGAAGUCUUCGGACUUAGUGGCGGACGGGUGAGUAACACGUGGGAACGUACCUUUUGGUUCGGAACAACUCAGGGAAACUUGAGCUAAUACCGGAUAAGCCCUUCGGGGGAAAGAUUUAUCGCCAUUAGAGCGGCCCGCGUUAGAUUAGCUAGUUGGUGAGGUAAAGGCUCACCAAGGCUACGAUCUAUAGCUGGUCUGAGAGGAUGAUCAGCCACACUGGGACUGGGACGCGACCCAGACUCCUACGGGAGGCAGCAGUGGGGAAUCUUGCGCAAUGGGCGAAAGCCUAACGCAGCCAUGCCGCGUGAAUGAUGAAGGUCUUAGGAUUGUAAAAUUCUUUUACCAGGGACGAUAAUGACGGUACCUGGAGAAAAAGCCCCGACUAACUUCGUGCCAGCCGCCGCCGUAA